RNAcentral lists this long non-coding RNA (350 nucleotides) under Rattus norvegicus (Norway rat). RNAcentral's name for it is "long non-coding RNA NONRATT012740". The record is from RNAcentral. Lineage: Eukaryota; Metazoa; Chordata; Mammalia; Rodentia; Muridae.
GUGUGUGUGUGUGUGUGUGUGUGUGUGUGUGUGUGUGUGUGUGUGUGCAGGUACAGCACGCAUGCUCAAGAUCUGCCAGGGUGUGUGUGUGUGUGUGUGUGUGUGCGUGUGUGUGCGUGCGUGUGUGUGUGCGCGCGCGUGUGUGUGCAGGUACAGCACGCAUGCUCGCGGCUAAUGACCAAUUCACCUAACUUGGGCCAGAUUCAGAUAGAAAGUCAGGCAAAUGCUGACGGACUCCAUCAACAAACUGCAAACACAUUUUAUGUGCAACAGGAUAACCAAAGGUCUCAAGAUCUUCCCCCAGGAUUUCUCAAUCUGGAAUCUAAAGAGGUUUCUCUGAAAGAUCCUUU